AUAAUUGUCAGCUAAGUGGCGCACGGGUGAGUAAUGUAUAGAUAACCUGCCCUUAAGAAAGGAAUAACAGUUGGAAACGACUGCUAAUGCCCUAUAUGCCUUUAAUACAUAAGUAUGCAAGGGAAACGCUUUAGUGCUUAAGGAUGGGUCUGUAUGGUAUCAGCUUGUUGGUGAGGUAAUGGCUCACCAAGGCUAUGACGCCUAACUGGUUUGAGAGGAUGAUCAGUCACACUGGAACUGAGACACGGUCCAGACUCCUACGGGAGGCAGCAGUGGGGAAUAUUGCACAAUGGACGAAAGUCUGAUGCAGCAACGCCGCGUGGAGGAUGACACAUUUAGGUGCGUAAACUCCUUUUAUAUAGGAAGAUAAUGACGGUACUAUAUGAAUAAGCACCGGCUAACUCCGUGCCAGCAGCCGCGGUAAUACGGAGGGUGCAAGCGUUACUCGGAAUCACUGGGCGUAAAGAGCGUGUAGGCGGGUAUAUAAGUCAGAAGUGAAAUCCAAUAGCUCAACUAUUGAACUGCUUUUGAAACUGUAUACCUAGAAUGUGGGAGAGGUAGAUGGAAUUUCUGGUGUAGGGGUAAAAUCCGUAGAGAUCAGAAGGAAUACCGAUUGCGAAGGCGAUCUACUGGAACAUUAUUGACGCUGAGACGCGAAAGCGUGGGGAGCAAACAGGAUUAGAUACCCUGGUAGUCCACGCCCUAAACGAUGUACACUAGUUGUUGUGAGGCUCGACCUUGCAGUAAUGCAGUUAACACAUUAAGUGUACCGCCUGGGGAGUACGGUCGCAAGAUUAAAAC
This 801-nucleotide ribosomal RNA is filed under the name uncultured bacterium. RNAcentral describes it as "bacterial SSU rRNA". It matches the Rfam family "Bacterial small subunit ribosomal RNA", at positions 80 to 900 of the family's 1533-position model. The record is from RNAcentral.